Molecule: ribosomal RNA, 485 nt
Filed under: uncultured bacterium
Lineage: Bacteria
Description: partial 16S ribosomal RNA
Rfam family: Bacterial small subunit ribosomal RNA
Source: RNAcentral
AGUGAACGCUGGCGGCGUGCUUAACACAUGCAAGUCGAACGAGAACGGAAUAUAGCUUGCUAUAUUUGUCAGCUAAGUGGCGCACGGGUGAGUAAUGUAUAGAUAACCUGCCCUUAAGAAAGGAAUAACAGUUGGAAACGACUGCUAAUGCCCUAUAUGCCUUUAAUACAUAAGUAUGCAAGGGAAACGCUUUAGUGCUUAAGGAUGGGUCUGUAUGGUAUCAGCUUGUUGGUGAGGUAGUGGCUCACCAAGGCUAUGACGCCUAACUGGUUUGAGAGGAUGGUCAGUCACACUGGAACUGAGACACGGUCCAGGCUCCUACGGGAGGCAGCAGUGGGGAAUAUUGCACAAUGGACGAAAGUCUGAUGCAGCAACGCCGCGUGGAGGAUGACACAUUUCGGUGCGUAAACUCCUUUUAUAUAGGAAGAUAAUGACGGUACUAUAUGAAUAAGCACCGGCUAACUCCGUGCCAGCCGCCGCCGUAA